UGCGGAGGGUGCAAGCGUUACUCGGAAUCACUGGGCGUAAAGGACGCGUAGGCGGGUUGUCAAGUCAGGUGUGAAAUCCUACAGCUUAACUGUAGAACUGCACUUGAAACUGGCAGCCUAGAGUAUGGGAGGGGGAGAUGGAAUUAGUGGUGUAGGGGUAAAAAUCCGUAGAUAUCACUAGGAAUACCUAAAGCGAAGGCGAUCUCCUGGAACAUUACUGACGCUAAGGCGUGAAAGCGUGGGGAGCAAACAGGAUUAGAUACCCCCGUAGU
RNAcentral lists this ribosomal RNA (272 nucleotides) under uncultured bacterium. Its description in RNAcentral is "partial 16S ribosomal RNA". It matches the Rfam family "Bacterial small subunit ribosomal RNA", at positions 524 to 794 of the family's 1533-position model. The record is from RNAcentral.